This 460-nucleotide ribosomal RNA is filed under the name uncultured bacterium. RNAcentral's name for it is "partial 16S ribosomal RNA". It matches the Rfam family "Bacterial small subunit ribosomal RNA", at positions 338 to 795 of the family's 1533-position model. The record is from RNAcentral.
CCUACGGGUGGCAGCAGUGAGGAAUCUUGGUCAAUGGGCGGAAGCCUGAACCAGCCAAGUCGCGUGAGGGAAUAAGGCCCUACGGGUCGUAAACCUCUUUUGCCGGGGAGCAAGGUCGGGGACGUGUCCCGGCCCGGAGAGUACCCGGAGAAAAAGCAUCGGCUACCUCCGUGCCAGCAGCCGCGGUAAUACGGGGGGUGCGAGCGUUAUCCGGAUUGUUCGGGUUUAAGGGGUGCGUAGGCGUGCUUUAAGGUCAGCGGUAAAAAGGCGGGGCCCAACCCCGUCCGGCCGUUGAAACUGGGGGCCUUGAGUGGGCGAGAAGAAGGCGGAAUGCGUGGUGUAGCAGUGAAAUGCAUAGAUAUCACGCAGAACCCCGGUUGCGAAGGCAGCCUUCCGGAGCCCUACUGACGCUGAGGCACGAAAGUGCGGGGAUCGAACAGGAUUAGAUACCCGAGUAGUC